This 274-nucleotide ribosomal RNA is filed under the name uncultured bacterium. Its description in RNAcentral is "partial 16S ribosomal RNA". It matches the Rfam family "Bacterial small subunit ribosomal RNA", at positions 524 to 796 of the family's 1533-position model. The record is from RNAcentral.
UACGGAGGGCGCGAGCGUUGUUCGGAAUUAUUGGGCGUAAAGCGCACGUAGGCGGCCCGGUAAGUCUCACUGUGAAAGCCCGGGGCUCAACCCCGGGAGGCCAGGGGAUACUGUCGGGCUGGAGACAAGCAGAGGUGGGUAGAAUUCCGGGUGUAGCGGUGGAAUGCGUAGAGAUCCGGAGGAAUACCAGAGGCGAAGGCGGCUCACUGGGCUUGAUCUGACGCUGAGGUGCGAAAGCGUGGGGAGCGAACAGGAUUAGAAACCCGAGUAGUCC